This 772-nucleotide ribosomal RNA is filed under the name uncultured bacterium. Its description in RNAcentral is "bacterial SSU rRNA". It matches the Rfam family "Bacterial small subunit ribosomal RNA", at positions 8 to 796 of the family's 1533-position model. The record is from RNAcentral.
AGAGUUUGAUCAUGGCUCAGGACGAACGCUGGCGGCGCGCCUAAAACAUGCAAGUCGAGCGAGAACCAGGGCUUCGGCUCUGGGGAGAGCGGCGAACGGGUGCGUAACACGUGAGCAACCUGCCCCGAAGACCGGGACAACACCGGGAAACCGGUGCUAAUACCGGAUGUCCUCACCGAAUCGCAUGGUUUGGUGAGGAAAUGGAUUCCGCUUCGGGAUGGGCUCGCGGUCUAUCAGCUUGUUGGUGGGGUAACGGCCUACCAAGGCAACGACGGAUAGCUGGUCUGAGAGGACGAUCAGCCACACUGGGACUGAGACACGGCCCAGACUCCUACGGGAGGCAGCAGUUAGGAAUCUUGCGCAAUGGGGGAAACCCUGACGCAGCGACGCCGCGUGCGGGAUGAAGGCCUUCGGGUUGUAAACCGCUUUCAGGAGGGACGAAAUUGACGGUACCUCCAGAAGAAGGCCCGGCCAACUACGUGCCAGCAGCCGCGGUAAUACGUAGGGGCCUAGCGUUGUCCGGAUUUAUUGGGCGUAAAGAGCUCGUAGGCGGUUCGGCAAGUCGGAUGUGAAAUCUCCACGCUCAACGUGGAGGGGCCAUUCGAAACUGCUGUGACUUGAGUCCGGUAGGGGGGUGUGGAAUUCCCGGUGUAGCGGUGAAAUGCGCAGAUAUCGGGAGGAACACCAGUAGCGAAGGCGGCACCCUGGGCCGGUACUGACGCUGAGGAGCGAAAGCGUGGGGAGCAAACAGGAUUAGAUACCCUAGUAGUCC